AGUGAACGCUGGCGGUAGGCCUAACACAUGCAAGUCGAACGGCAGCACAGUAAGAGCUUGCUCUUACGGGUGGCGAGUGGCGGACGGGUGAGGAAUACAUCGGAACCUACUUUUUCGUGGGGGAUAACGUAGGGAAACUUACGCUAAUACCGCAUACGACCUACGGGUGAAAGCAGGGGAUCUUCGGACCUUGCGCGAUUGAAUGAGCCGAUGUCGGAUUAGCUAGUUGGCGGGGUAAAGGCCCACCAAGGCGACGAUCCGUAGCUGGUCUGAGAGGAUGAUCAGCCACACUGGAACUGAGACACGGUCCAGACUCCUACGGGAGGCGGCAGUGGGGAAUAUUGGACAAUGGGCGCAAGCCUGAUCCAGCCAUACCGCGUGGGUGAAGAAGGCCUUCGGGUUGUAAAGCCCUUUUGUUGGGAAAGAAAAGCAGCAGGUUAAUACCCCGCUGUUCUGACGGUACCCAAAGAAUAAGCACCGGCUAACUUCGUG
Molecule: ribosomal RNA, 492 nt
Filed under: uncultured bacterium
Lineage: Bacteria
Description: partial 16S ribosomal RNA
Rfam family: Bacterial small subunit ribosomal RNA
Source: RNAcentral